This 402-nucleotide ribosomal RNA is filed under the name bacterium. Its description in RNAcentral is "partial 16S ribosomal RNA". It matches the Rfam family "Bacterial small subunit ribosomal RNA", at positions 355 to 776 of the family's 1533-position model. The record is from RNAcentral.
UGGGGAAUUUUGCACAAUGGGGGAAACCCUGAUGCAGCGACGCCGCGUGAUUUAGAAGGCCUUCGGGUUGUAAAGAUCUUUUUUACGGGAUGAAAAUGACAGUACCGUAAGAAUAAGGUCCGGCUAAAUACGUGCCAGCAGCCGCGGUAAUACGUAUGGACCGAGCGUUGUCCGGAAUCAUUGGGCGUAAAGGGUACGUAGGCGGCCUAAUAAGUUAGAAGUGAAAGAAUAUAGCUCAACUAUAUAAAGCUUUUAAAACUGUUAGGCUUGAGAGAUGAAAGGGAAAGUGGAAUUCCUAGUGUAGCGGUGAAAUGCGCAGAUAUUAGGAAGAAUACCGGUGGCGAAGGCGACUUUCUGGUCAUCAUCUGACGCUGAGGUACGAAAGUGUGGGUAGCAAACAGG